GACGAACGCUGGCGGCGUGCCUAAUACAUGCAUGUCGAGCGCAGGAAAUCGACGGAACCCUUCGGGGGGAAGUCGACGGAAUGAGCGGCGGACGGGUGAGUAACACGUAAAGAACCUGCCCUCAGGUCUGGGAUAACCACGAGAAAUCGGGGCUAAUACCGGAUGGGUCAUCGGACCGCAUGGUCCGAGGAUGAAAGGCGCUUCGGCGUCGCCUGGGGAUGGCUUUGCGGUGCAUUAGCUAGUUGGUGGGGUAAUGGCCCACCAAGGCGACGAUGAAUAGCCGACCUGAGAGGGUGAUCGGCCACACUGGGACUGAGACACGGCCCAGACUACUACGGGAGGCAGCAGUAGGGAAUCUUCCACAAUGGACGAAAGUCUGAUGGAGCAACGCCGCGUGAACGAUGAAGGCCUUCGGGUCGUAAAGUUCUGUUGUAAGGGAAGAACAAGUGCCGCAGGCAAUGGCGGCACCUUGACGGUACCUUGCGAGAAAGCCACGGCUAACUACGUGCCAGCCGCCGCCGUAA
Molecule: ribosomal RNA, 524 nt
Filed under: uncultured bacterium
Lineage: Bacteria
Description: partial 16S ribosomal RNA
Rfam family: Bacterial small subunit ribosomal RNA
Source: RNAcentral